AGUAAUUAUUUAAAUACAUUAAAAAAUUAUUUUCAUAUUUUUUUGAUUUUUUUUCUUUGAAUAUGAUGAAUUGGAAAAGAAAAAUACUUUACUAUUAUUUCAAAUAUCAAAAAAUCAAAAAGAAAAAAUAAUGUGAGCUAUUAAAGAGUACAAGCAGUUGCAGUGAUUGAAAAUGGAUCUCCAUGUGAAGAAGCCAUUGCCAUUUACAUUUUUCUCCUGCAAAAAGCUGCCAAUGUCUCCCUCUAAUUUACAUGCCAAUAGAAAGAACUGGAUUUGCAGUUAGAUCUACCCAAGUAUCUCUCUCCCUCGUUAAUGUCAAAAGAUGAAAUGGGUAGGUUUAUAGGGGGCAUGUUUGGCCAUUGAAGAAUAUCUCCAGGGUUAGAUAUGUCCCAGAAAAUUA
This 400-nucleotide unclassified non-coding RNA is filed under the name Hevea brasiliensis (rubber tree). Lineage: Eukaryota; Viridiplantae; Streptophyta; Magnoliopsida; Malpighiales; Euphorbiaceae. The record is from RNAcentral.